This is a long non-coding RNA of Apis florea (little honeybee), 464 nucleotides long. Lineage: Eukaryota; Metazoa; Arthropoda; Insecta; Hymenoptera; Apidae. The record is from RefSeq and is a predicted model, not a curated record.
UUGCCUAUAAUUUAAACAUAAAAUGAAAUCGUAUCUUCGAAUAAUAUUUGCUCAUGAAGAUAUUUCAAUUUUCUCGUAUAUUUGUUUUCACUCAUUUCAAAUUUUCUCCAACUCUUCUGAGUAAUCGAACAAAAUUUCGAGUUUCACUCAAUUGACGGUUAAACCUUUGAUAUUUCAUCCGGAUUGACUUUUACACGCGAGUGUAAAAGCAAGAUCGGAAUUCGGUCGAUGGAAAAAAAAUCCCAAUCUGGCCUGAAUAUUUAACCCGUUAAAAUUUAUUCGUUACAAAGCGAGAUAAGCUUGUUUCCAAUUGGAUGGAAAGCGAACGUGUCGUUUCAAAACCGAAAUGUUUCGUGAUUCCCGAUUUAAUCCGGUUGCUCGAGGAAAGUGUCGCGCGACUGGUGAGAAAUGGACGUUUAUUAGAAUCGAUUUUAGUGACACGUGCGAUACACGAUCGAUCGAUG